Molecule: ribosomal RNA, 370 nt
Filed under: uncultured eukaryote
Lineage: Eukaryota
Description: partial 18S ribosomal RNA
Rfam family: Eukaryotic small subunit ribosomal RNA
Source: RNAcentral
CAAUAGCGUAUAUUAAAGUUGUUGCAGUUAAAAAGCUCGUAGUUGGACCUUGGACCUGGACAGGCGGUCCGCCUCACGGCGUGUACUGUCUUGCUGGGUCUUUCCUCUUGGUGAUCUGUUGUUUCGGCAGCAGGGAACCAGGACUUUUACUUUGAAAAAAUUAGAGUGUUCAAAGCAGGCUGGACGCCGGAAUAUAUUAGCAUGGAAUAAUAAAAUAGGACGUGCGGUUCUAUUUUGUUGGUUUUUGGAAUCGCCGUAAUGAUUAAUAGGGACAGUCGGGGGCAUUAGUACUCACAUGCUAGAGGUGAAAUUCUUGGAUUUUGUGAAGACUAACUUCUGCGAAAGCAUUUGCCAAGGAUGUUUUCAUUAA